Non-coding RNA from Guyanagaster necrorhizus, 92 nucleotides. The record is from the annotation of a RefSeq genome assembly. Lineage: Eukaryota; Fungi; Basidiomycota; Agaricomycetes; Agaricales; Physalacriaceae.
GGGGGCAUAGCUCAGCUGGGAGAGCAACAGACUGAAGUUAUUUAAGUGGUGAUGUGUUCUGGAGGUCCCCGGUUCAAUCCCGGGUGCCCCCA